Molecule: long non-coding RNA, 619 nt
Organism: Arachis duranensis
Lineage: Eukaryota; Viridiplantae; Streptophyta; Magnoliopsida; Fabales; Fabaceae
Exons: 3
Source: RefSeq, a predicted model, not a curated record
AAGACCAAUACAUGAAAGUGGAAAGCUUUCUUUCUUAUACCAAUUAGAAUGGAACUGACAAUUGGGGUUAUUGGCUCUGCUUCAAUGGGAGUUGAACGGGUUGUACAUAGCCGUGCUUUGCCAGCAUAAAGUCUCCUCCAAUAGAGAUUGAGCUUUUGGUAUUGGUUAAUUUUAUGUUUCUUUGAAGUUGAUCGUGUUCAGGGUGAUGCUUUGUUAUUUUGUGAAGGACCCUAAGUUCCGUGAACUGAAUGGAGAUGGAAAGCCCUGAUUUAUGUUGUCGAUUGACACUUUUGAAAGAAUGGUUGGUGGCAUAUCCGUGGAUGUUGAUCAGACCGAGGAUACAAAAGGUCCUCAUACAUAAGAAAGAUGGUUAAGCUUGGCAUGUGAAAAUUUGAGGUUUCAGUAUAUGUAAGAUACCUGGUCACGGCUGGGCUAGUUCCUCCUGUAAAAGUUGUAAGUGUCGUGCGGAAUACUUGAGGUUAGACCCAGUCUUAGUGACUUGCUCAAAUAAAAAAAUUUGAUUUUGUAUGCCAUGGUUGAUUUGUAUGUUUAAUUUACUUUGUUGAUAAUAUCGACAAAUAGUAGUAGAUUAGUUUCUGCCAAUGUCAUGGAAAUUGUA